RNA transcript from Episyrphus balteatus (marmalade hoverfly), 3270 nucleotides. It is a transcript of the gene named E3 ubiquitin-protein ligase RMND5A, with no coding region annotated. Lineage: Eukaryota; Metazoa; Arthropoda; Insecta; Diptera; Syrphidae. The transcript has 3 exons. The record is from RefSeq and is a predicted model, not a curated record.
ACUCUGUGGGUAGUUGUUUUUGUUGACAUUGACUAUUAUUUCUGAAUUGUUUUUGGGUUUGUGAAAAUUUAUAAAAAUUUUAAAAGAAAUUGAAAAUCUACCAUUAGAAGGGCUUCGAAGUUGAUGAGAAAUACAAAAUAUAAUUAAAUUAAAUAACGGGUUAUUUUAAUGAAAAAACUAUAACGGAUUGUACAUCCAUCUCGCUGGUGAAAAGAGAAUUGAUGAAGGUGUAAGGUAACAGACAGUGAAAACAAAGACAUUAAUUUACAAACUUAACGUAAUCUAAAAUGGAUGCCUGCUUGGCGGUGGAAAAAGAGCUUAACCGUGUCAUAACAAAGUUUACAGGGAUUCGAGAGUAUAGUGGGCUUGUUAUCACUGAUGUUGUUCAGCUCCUAAGCGAAAUACAAAAUGCUUUCAAUGAAGAUAACCAGAAUGAUGCUGUUUUAACAGAGAGUCAAGUUAGAAUUAUUACUGAUGCCUUGCACAAAACAAACGAAAAACUGCAACGCAUAUCUGCAGAACAUCGAGAAUUGCACGGAGCUGUCAGUAAAGUUGGCAAAGUAGUCGAUAAAAACUUUGUCUCAGAUUUCACAGCGACUACAAGAACAGAUGCCCUCCAAGAUGAACAAAACAUGAUGCUUUUAAACAAAGUCAUGGCCAAACAUUAUUGUCGUCAAGGUAUGGAUGAGGUGGCUCAAGCACUAAUAAAAGAAUCUGGAAUGCAGUCAGAAGUCGCGCAAGAAGUCUUUGAUUCAGAAAGCAGCUUUGCAGAAAUCUUUAAAAUUUGGAAGUCAAUUCAAAAAUACAAUUUGCAGCCAGCACUUGAGUGGUCUGCGAGGUACUCAAAUGAAUUACUUGAAAAGAACUCGUCUUUGGAGUUUAAACUGCACAAACUGGCCUUUUUACAAAUUGUGUCCCGUGGUAUUGAAGCUCAAGGCGAAGCAAUUGCAUAUGCGAGAAACAAUUUUAGUAAAUUUGUUGAUCGCUUUGGCAGCGAGAUUCCCAAUUUGAUGGGAACAUUCAUCUAUUUGCCAAAUGGCAUAGAAAACUCUCCCUACAAGCAUUUAAUCUCUCCUGAGAUGUGGACAGAGGCAUCUUAUAUAUUUUUAAAGGACGCCUGCCAUACACUUGGCAUAAGCAAGAACUCAGCAUUGUCCGUUGUAAUCAAUGCUGGAUGCACUGCCUUGCCUGCUCUUCUAAACAUAAAACAAGUUAUGCUUUCAAGACAAGUACUCAGCAUAUGGAGUGGAAGAGAUGAACUGCCUAUUGAAAUAGAUCUAGACCCCGAAUAUCGUUAUCAUUCAAUAUUUGCGUGCCCCAUAUUAAGACAGCAAACUUCUGAAGACAAUCCACCAAAGAAGUUGACAUGUGGCCAUGUAAUAUCUAGUGACGCCUUGCUUAAACUAAGCAAUGGGCCUAUUCUUAAAUGUCCUUAUUGCCCUGUUGAACAAAAUUCUGACGAUGCAGUGCGAAUUUGGUUUUAGGUUACACACCAACACCACACAGGAUCAUAAAAUGUUUAUGGCGUCUAAAUUUUGCUUUGGUUCUUUUCGUACUUUCAACCCAAUAAAGAAUACUCUUAGGCCCAAUUUAUUGACUCUCCAUUAAACUUAAAUCGCCAUUAAAAAAGGAAUCUUAAAAUUAAAAACAAAAUUCGUUUAGUUCAGUCUCUGUUAAGAAUUUUUUUGAAGUUUUUUUAAAAGUCCUUUUAGUUAAAAAGCCAAAUUCGACCUUUUAAGAGGGAUUUUUAGAGCAAAUGGAGGUUUAAAAAAGGAUUUCUAUUUAUUCACUCUCCAUUAGCGUCAAAUGUCAUUUCAGUUAUUAUUUCAUUAUUUUUUUAUUUGAAAAAAAUUUGUUCGUGAAAUAAGCUAAGAAAUCAUGUAAACAAAAACAAAAAUUAUGUAUGUACAUUAACAGUCCAGAAUAGAAUAUUUUUGUAGGGACAUAUGUAGGUAUUUAUUCCAUAAAAAAGUUACAAUUUAAAAUGACUACGGCUCGCCAGAAAUUUUUUUGUAUGGGCAUGAGGGUUAAAUAGACAACACUUCAUUUAUGAUUUUUCUAAUCUACUUCACCGAGCCCAGAAGAAGCAUAUAUGGUAGCUGCGUUCCUUUGGAAAUAUUUAUCUACUUUUUAGUACUUAAAACUACUUUGAUCUACUUUGCUAUACUGAAAAAGUAGUUCAAAGCAGCUUUAAGUACUAAAAAGUAGAUAAAUAUUUCCAAAGGAACGCAGCUAGUAAUAGAUCUACCAGAAACUAGAUCUUCUUCACUUCAAAAGAAUCACGAGGUAAAACUAAUGAGAUGCUACAUAAUGUAAUCAUCCCAAAACAUUGCAAUUGUAACUUUGUCUUUGAUUACCACUGAUGGUACAUAUAUCGUUACUCUCGUCCGUGUGCUUUCGCCUGGCGUUUUACGGCUCCAAAAUACUUACGGGCCAUAGCGUUUAUGUUUUUUGUAUUGUUUUUCCUUCCUUCAAAUUUAAAAAAAAAUUGAUUUGACAAAUUUCUGCUUUUGACAGUUUUAUUUUUCAAAAACUAAAAAAUCCCUAAGAUAUUUUUAAUGGAGUUUUAAAUUUAAAGUUUUCAUUAAAAGUAAAGACUUUAACUAAAGUAAAGUGAAUUAAAUGAAUUUUUUAAUGAUGUAUACUUAAAGGCGUCAAUAGUUAACAACGCUGUUAACUAAAACGAUAAAUUUCAAAAUUUAAUGGAGGCUCAAUAAAUUGGCCCUUAAUGUAUUAGGUAUUUGGAGGAACGAAUAAUUAUUUUUUAUUGUACUAGACAUAAUUUUUAAAACGGAUAACAUACAGCCCUAUAAUGAGUAUCAAUUUGAUUGUUGAUAAUUAUCGACUUUUUGUUAAAUCGGUAUUGAGUAUCAAUUUCUUAAACGAUGGUGAAUAGUUCAUUGGUUAUUCGCGUUUGACGUUUUAAAAUUCAUUGUGAAUGAGAUUUUUGUAUCUAGUUUGACGUUUUAAUUAUUGUUUUGAAAUUUUAUUUUGUGACUAGAAUAAAAAUCAAAAUUGUUGUCUGAAAAUAUAAGUUGUUCUCAUAAACAAAAAUAUUUUAUUUAGGUAUGGGACAGUAAUAACAGCUCGUUUCAAAUCAAAAGUCCUGUCUCUGAGUUUAUUUUCUCCCUUCCAAUAAAAUUGAGAAUAAAUAAACAAAAACUCAAUUUUAUUGGCUCAUUACGACAAAUCAACUCAAAAUUAACAAAAAAUCAUGCUUGUUUGAUUGAAUUAAAUGCUAGAGAAAACAAUAAACACGAAAAAUCUGAA